UCCCUCAGUAAUGGCGAAUGAAGAGGGAAGAGCUCAAAUUUCAAAUCUCCGUUGUUUGCAACGGCGAAUUGUAGUUGCGAGAAGUGCAUUCCAGGGGAAUCGACCUUGUCUAAGUCGUCUGGAACGGCGUGUCGCAGAGGGUGACAAUCCCGUACGUGACGAGGUUCGACCUCCGGCGAAGUACUUUCCAAGAGUCGGGUUGUUUGGGAAUGCAGCCCAAAUCGGGUGGUAAACUCCAUCUAAAGCUAAAUAUGUACACGAGACCGAUAGCGAACAAGUACCGUGAGGGAAAGAUGAAAAGAACUUUGAAAAGAGAGUUAAAAAGUGCGUGAAACCGUUGGAAGGGAAGCGAAUGGAGUCAGCAAUUCGCCCAGUACGAUUCAGUCGCGUACCGUUCGGUCGCGUGCCCGAUGUCGAUCUUCCGAGACGAAACGUGCACCUCCGGCCGGACGUUCGCGGCGCACUUCGCAUGGGCGAGCGUCAACGUCGGUAGACGCACGAGUGAGAAAGCUGCGAGAAUGGUAGGUCCUUCGGGACUGGNUAAGCCUCGCUAGCACCUAACCCGUAGUCCACCGAGGCGGUCGCAUCGCGUGCCUUAGGCUGAUGUUCUGUGCCGUUGCGUCGGSUGCGAAACGUGGCGGACGGCUAUGCCUGUGCGCUCGAACCGUCGCCGUGCAACGGCACGUCGAAUAUACACCACGYGUUGAGGACGUUUGACGAGCAUACGGCUUCAUCCGACCCGUCUUGAAACACGGACCAAGGAGUCUAACAUGUUCGCAAGUCACUGGGUGCUUGAAACCCGUGGGCGYAAUGAAAGUGAAGGCAAUCUGUUGUUGAGAUGAGAAGCCCUGGCAGUGGUUGGGGCUGCAUCAUCGACCGACCUGUUCUACUCCUAGAAAGGUUUGAGUAAGAGCGUACCUGUUGGGACCCGAAAGAUGGUGAACUAUGCCUGAAUAGGGUGAAGCCAGCG
RNAcentral lists this ribosomal RNA (970 nucleotides) under Kophobelemnon sp. MBU-2020. RNAcentral describes it as "partial large subunit ribosomal RNA". It matches the Rfam family "Eukaryotic large subunit ribosomal RNA", at positions 76 to 857 of the family's 3401-position model. The record is from RNAcentral. Lineage: Eukaryota; Metazoa; Cnidaria; Anthozoa; Scleralcyonacea; Kophobelemnidae.